UACGGAGGAUGCGAGCGUUAUCCGGAUUUAUUGGGUUUAAAGGGUGCGCAGGCGGGCUAAUAAGUCAGCGGUGAAAUAUUCAGGCUUAACCUGAAGACUGCCGUUGAAACUGUCAGUCUUGAGUAUAGAUGAAGUAGGCGGAAUUCGUUGUGUAGCGGUGACAUGCAUAGAUAUAACGAGGAACUCCGAUUGCGUAGGCAGCUUACUAAACUAUAACUGACGCUCAUGCACGAAAGCGUGGGGAUCAAACAGGAUUAGAUACCCUGGUAGUCCACGCCGUAAACGAUGAUUACUAGUUGUAUGCGAUAUGAUAGUAUGUGACUAAGCGAAAGCGAUAAGUAAUCCACCUGGGGAGUACGCCGGCAACGGUGAA
Molecule: ribosomal RNA, 373 nt
Filed under: uncultured bacterium
Lineage: Bacteria
Description: bacterial SSU rRNA
Rfam family: Bacterial small subunit ribosomal RNA
Source: RNAcentral